AGAUUGCUUCAUCUUUCAGAGGACAUAUGAAGUGUCUUUGCAGACAUUUAUUUGACAGCCACAGUUGCCAUGGCAGCCAAGUGCGAUGCUUUUGCCAGGGCAGAUGGGUGCAAAGAAAGUAGCGUUAUAAUGGCCAAUGGUGACCAUCAACGUCCUUCACGCUUUAAGUCGGCAUGCAUUUAGACACCCAGAGCUCCCAUUGCUGCUCAUAAUAAAGCAGCUCACAGUCCUGGACAUCCAUCUAUCCAUUUAAAGCAGCAGAGUUUCUCCUUGAGACCUUGAGGUGUCAGUUAUGGUGGCCGAUCCAUCAAAGUCUAAAGUGAGUGAUGAUGUCAUCACCACAGGCCAUGAGUGAAUGGGAUUUUUUCACACUCAACUCCUUCAAAAAUGAAAAAGAAACAUCUCUGGACAUCUCAAACCUUCAUAGGAAUACUUCACCUAAUAAUGACAUUUCUUACAUAAUUUUUUAUGUUUAUGUAAUUCUGAACCCAAAUAACAUUCAUAUAACUAUUUUGUAGAAGUUUAAAAUAAUAAUAAUAAACUUUA
Misgurnus anguillicaudatus (oriental weatherfish) is the source of this 546-nucleotide long non-coding RNA. RefSeq lists it as uncharacterized. The record is from RefSeq and is a predicted model, not a curated record. Lineage: Eukaryota; Metazoa; Chordata; Actinopteri; Cypriniformes; Cobitidae.